This 389-nucleotide ribosomal RNA is filed under the name Nodipecten subnodosus. Its description in RNAcentral is "partial 16S ribosomal RNA". It matches the Rfam family "Bacterial large subunit ribosomal RNA", at positions 1857 to 2479 of the family's 2925-position model. The record is from RNAcentral. Lineage: Eukaryota; Metazoa; Mollusca; Bivalvia; Pectinida; Pectinidae.
GCCUUCCCGGUGAGUCUGCGGGCUUAAACGGACGCGGUAAAGCGUGCUAAGGUAGCUAAAUUAUGGCCUAUUAAUUGUAGGUCCUGUGAAUGGUUUGACGAGUCUUCAACUGUCUCUAGUUUUUUUGGUGAACUUGAAUUGGAUGUGCAAAUGCUUCCAUGGGUAAGAAAGACGAGAAGACCCCGUGAAGUUAGAAAUUUUGGUUGUUGGUGAGCUUUGUUGGGUGUAGGUUAGGCCACUUUAAGUGGUUUGAAAGAAAAGUGAACAGCGAUAGUUUUGGCUGGGGCAGCAAAGAAGCAAGGUUAGACUUCUUUAGUUUAAGGACAGGUGUGUGACGACCCACAAGUUUGUUGGUGUGAUUAGCAGAAGAAGUUACUCCGGGGAUAACA